RNAcentral lists this long non-coding RNA (4921 nucleotides) under Lupinus angustifolius (narrow-leaved blue lupine). RNAcentral's name for it is "long non-coding RNA (LANG_LNC000281)". The record is from RNAcentral. Lineage: Eukaryota; Viridiplantae; Streptophyta; Magnoliopsida; Fabales; Fabaceae.
UCAGAAGGCUGUAUCACAUUUUCUUGUUUUCCUUGUCCCGUCUCCUUCUCAGUUUUAGUGCUUUCUGUCCUAGCUAAAUUAUCAGGUUCAUCAUAUUUGACACGUUCACCACCGGGCAUUUUAUCAUCUGCAUUAUUGUUAUCUAUUUCCAUUUCACUAAGCUUUUCAUGUACCAAAUGUGCUGGAACUUCUGCCUUAGCUUCCGUAAGUUCAGGUUUAAUUGAGAUAGGCAUCUCAACACUGGGAUAGGCUUGGUUCUGAGCAUCCCUGGCAAGAUGUGAUUCACAAUUUGCAGAAACAGAUGAAGCACAGUUGUCAUUUUCAGGAUUAAUGGACUGCAUGAUGUGCUCAGUCUUUAUGCGUUUUAGAGAUGGAUGCGGGUAUUCUGAAGUUUCCACAACUAGUGGAGGCUUUGAGAUCAAUCUUGGCGAUGAACUUACAAUAUUGUAUGAUUUACAGGAUCCAUUUACUGCAAUUGGCAAACUUGAUUCAGCUUCUGGCCGAAUCUGAUGCUUGAGUUGAAAUGCACGUCGAUAAUUUCUUACAAAAACACAAACGGGGCAACAUGGAUCCUUGCAGUUUAUGAAAUGAUGAAGCAAUACUCUAGUAUGAUGACAACGAGGAUAUGGACAAUGGCGCAGGGUGCAUCCAUCUAUGUGCUUACAUAACUUUUGCGCAAGAGAACAAAAGCGUUCUUGGCAUUGUCCUUCGGGAGCAGAACAUCGUCGAGCAUGGAGUAGAAAUAAAAGCCAUCUCUGUUGAUUUUUGUGCGCCUUUUUGAUAGCACUGAGCCCCAGGCCAGUAGUCUCCAUCAAAAUAUGGAAGUCUUGCAGCUGUAACCUUAGCCCUACAUUCCCCGGUAGAUACAAAGAAAUGAUCGUAUAAGUUGGUUAGAUCAACCACAACAUUCUCCUUGGCAGCUUUUCUUAACAUGGCCAGAUACCUGAAGAGAAAUGAACACAGAAGAAACCAAAUUUAGAGAUGAAGAAACCUACCAUCUUGUACAGGUAAAAUAAUUAGACAACUUCUUUCUUUUAUUUUUGCUUUUCCUCAAGCUCAUAGGCUCACCACUCCCGAAGCUUAUCAGAUUUUGGUGUUUUCUGAAUUUCCGGAUGACAAUAUAGGAUAUAGUCUUCACCCUUCAACGGAGGACAUGCCCAUAUAUAGCAGCUAGUAAAACCACGCUUCUUGCAAUAUUCAAGGUAUCCAAUCUACAAAGAAAUAGUCAGAAGUUGAAUAUCACCACAAUAGGGUUCCAAAAGGAUGUAAAGACAUGAUAAGAGCAAAAUUACUAGUGACUACAAUUUACCAGGAUUUCGUGAUAAACAAAUGUCCGGAGAGCCUCUCCAGUCACUGCUCUAACUUCAGGUCUAAAAUACUUCACAGAGUCCAGAUAUGAAAGAUACACCCGGCGCUGAUUGGGAAAUUCAGCUUCAGAUCCAAAUUCUUGAACAUACAUGCCAAAUAGGCAGACUUCCACACCUUCAAUUUUCUGAAACAACAAAACUACCUGGAAUACAAAGCUAAGGUCAUCAACAUUCAUCAUCAAUGGGGAUUCAAUUACAUCAAAUUUAAUAAAGCAGCUUCCCAAUUACCUUGGAUUUGUAUGGGAAUUCUGUUGGGUAAUUUUCUUCUUGAAAAAUCUCCAAAAACCGCUGUUUCACUUCUAACUUCUUGUCAACAGAUGAAACAACCCUUACAACAAGGAAAUCAGCUCCAGGCACCUAGUUACAUCCAAGAAAAAAUGUUUUAUAUGUCACAUGAACACAACUAAAUGCAAUUACUAGUAUACACGAAACUAGAGUGUGAGCACAGUAAGUAAGGAACUAAUAAAUAUAUAUUAAAAAAGUACACUGAAAUAAAAAUUCAAUCAAACAUAUUUUAUCCAGCCACUAGAAGAAUCACCUCAUCAUAACUUUUCCCUUGAACCCUUGCCCUCUCUUGCCUUUCUUGCCUCAGUCGUCUAAAUAAUCGUUGUUCUAUCUGGUCACUGAGAAUAGUUUUUGGCAAAUCCUUCGCUCCAAGAACAGCACUUUGGGGUAACGGUUUGCGCUCUCCUCUUUCGACCUCUUCAAUGUAGCAGUUAGGGCAAGUGUAUUCAGCUUGUCCACCAUCAUUUCUUCUACCAUUAAAUAACGCACAAAUCUGGUGUUGCCAAGCUUCACAUUUAUCACAUUGAACCCACUGCACAUAAAAAUAGAUGGUAAAUAGCAAAUCAAACAGAUGAACUGCCAAUAGAGCAGCAAAAUGACACAUGGCACGCACCCAUUCUUCAGUUUCCUCAUCAUUCUUCUUCUUUUCCAAUCUUGACUUGGGAAUGGGAGUCCCAUCAACGUUAAUGUUCUCUGAACGAGCAUCAUUAUAGCAUGGAAUACAAAAAUAAUGCCGUGUAUCACCAGCACCCAUGGUGUAAUACAUAUUAUUUCGUUUAAUGCGGACACCACAAGUUGUGCAGUAAAUAGGUGGGGGUUCAAAAGUAAGCUUCUCAACAGCACACAAUUGACAGGAGUUCUCACUCAUUGAAUGCUCCAUUGCUUGAUUCUUCUCUACUUUUGAUUUGCUCUGUUAAAGGAAAACAAGAGUACAAAAACAUCAUAGUAAAUAAUGCUCAAUCAUAAAUCAUAAGGCUCAAUCAACAUUAAUCCCACUAGGCGGGUUCAGCUACAUGGAUAGAACAACACCAUAAUGUUCAAUCAUAAAUCAUGUUCAUUGACAAAUCAUUGAUCUCUAAAUUUUUCCUAAUCAUUUUGCCUAUACUUUUGUUGGCCUCUCUCUUCCUCUAAAAAUUGGAGUAACAUCCAUUUGAUCUACUCUCCUUACUGGGGCUUCUAACAAUCUCCUCUACACAUGUCUAAAGCAACUACGGUGUGAUUCUACCAUCUUUUCUAUAAUAGGAGUUACUCCAGCUUUUUCCCUAAUGCUCAUCAUGGCAAAAUUUGGAUACAGAGAUAAUUAGAGAAAUCUUAUGCAUGUUAAAUAGCAAAUGAACAAGUAACCUUAGCUAAUUCCAACCUUAAAAAUUAUUUAUAAACCUCAGCUUUAGGAGAGAUAUCAUAUCAUAUGAUGACUGAUAUUGUUAAAUAAAUGGGACAACGAGAAAUAUUUUUUAGAAAUGUAUAGCAUUUAAGAGCAUUACAUUUGGGCUUAACAUUUAUCAUAACAUUUAGAAGGAACAUAUAAACAGUGUUUUAUGAAGCUAAGUGCAUUAAAAAAAUGAAGCUUCUACAAGAAGCGUGUCAGUAAUGUGAACAUAGCAUGAGAUGGAGUCAAAUGAAGAAAUACAAGGGAGAUAUCAUUUAUCAUACAUAUACAUCAAAAACCAAAGUUAACUAGAUACUAAAAAUAGUCAAAGACAGCCAGGGCAUUUAAAGUAAGUAAUGUGAUAACAUAAGAAACAUGGUGCAAAAUCUUGUCCCAAUGAUACAUUUGGAGUGGACUUUUAUGGUAUGUUUGGUGACUUUUGGGAUGACAUCAAAGAUUUUAGUAUUUUCACUUAAUUAUGCUCAUAGGCUUUGGUCGGAGAAAAGAGAGCAUAUUGAUGUGGAAGUGUACUUUGUAUGUUGUUCUUUGGUGCCUAUAGCUGGACUAAAAUGCCUUAAUCUUUAAAGGAAAAUCUCUGUUCCAAUGAUUGAUAAGGCAUAGAAUUGUUAUCAGUCUCCCCAUUUUGCUCAGCACAAGCUUUCUUUCAAAUAAUCUCAUUGGCAGAGUUGAAUAGGAAAUGGAGUUACACUUUAACUUUUCUUUGUACUCAUUAUAAUGUUUUUAUAAUAUUUUAUGAAUUAAAAAGAAAGGCUAAUGUCAUGAUGCCAAACACCAUAUUCUAUUUGUCAUAAGAGGACAGUACAUGAUCCAUUUUGUUUGCUAUCUCGUUUUUAAAGUUCAGUUAGAGCAUCAGAAUUCAAUGCCAUUAAUGAAUUGAAUAAAGUUCAAUUGUUUUUAUACCACAAUGGAACUGGUAUGUACUUCAGAUGCUUUCAACUAUUAAACCAGAUAUUGUUUUUCCUAUGAAAGAAAUAUGAGUAUAGGACGACUUACUUGGCCAACCCACUGCCUGAGGCCAGUGAUAUGUUCCCUGACUUGCUCUGGAGUAAAUAAUUCUGUAAGUGAGACCCCCUUUACUUUUGGCUUGCCUGAUUUGGUUCCAGCUGCAUUUUCAGAAGGCUGUAUCACAUUUUCUUGUUUUCCUUGUCCCGUCUCCUUCUCAGUUUUAGUGCUUUCUGUCCUAGCUAAAUUAUCAGGUUCAUCAUAUUUGACACGUUCACCACCGGGCAUUUUAUCAUCUGCAUUAUUGUUAUCUAUUUCCAUUUCACUAAGCUUUUCAUGUACCAAAUGUGCUGGAACUUCUGCCUUAGCUUCCGUAAGUUCAGGUUUAAUUGAGAUAGGCAUCUCAACACUGGGAUAGGCUUGGUUCUGAGCAUCCCUGGCAAGAUGUGAUUCACAAUUUGCAGAAACAGAUGAAGCACAGUUGUCAUUUUCAGGAUUAAUGGACUGCAUGAUGUGCUCAGUCUUUAUGCGUUUUAGAGAUGGAUGCGGGUAUUCUGAAGUUUCCACAACUAGUGGAGGCUUUGAGAUCAAUCUUGGCGAUGAACUUACAAUAUUGUAUGAUUUACAGGAUCCAUUUACUGCAAUUGGCAAACUUGAUUCAGCUUCUGGCCGAAUCUGAUGCUUGAGUUGAAAUGCACGUCGAUAAUUUCUUACAAAAACACAAACGGGGCAACAUGGAUCCUUGCAGUUUAUGAAAUGAUGAAGCAAUACUCUAGUAUGAUGACAACGAGGAUAUGGACAAUGGCGCAGGGUGCAUCCAUCUAUGUGCUUACAUAACUUUUGCGCAAGAGAACAAAAGCGUUCUUGGCAUUGUCCUUCGGGAGCAGAACAUCGUCGAGCAUGGAGUAGAAAUAAAAGCCAUCUCUGUUGAUUUUUG